AGAGUUUGAUUAUGGCUCAGGAUGAACGCUAGCGGCAGGCUUAACACAUGCAAGUCGAGGGGCAGCGGGGUGUAGCAAUACACUGCCGGCGACUGGCGCACGGGUGCGUAACGCGUAUGCAACCUACCCAUAACAGGGGCAUAACACUGAGAAGUUGGUACUAAUUCCCCAUAACAUUCGAAGAGGCAUCUCUUUGGGUUGAAAACUCCGGUGGUUAUGGGUGGGCAUGCGUUGUAUUAGCUAGUUGGUGAGGUAAUGGCUCACCAAGGCGACGAUACAUAGGGGGACUGAGAGGUUAACCCCCCACAUUGGUACUGAGACACGGACCAA
Molecule: ribosomal RNA, 330 nt
Filed under: uncultured bacterium
Lineage: Bacteria
Description: bacterial SSU rRNA
Rfam family: Bacterial small subunit ribosomal RNA
Source: RNAcentral